CAAGUCCUACGGGAGGCAGCAGGGAAUUUUGCGCAAUGGGGGAAACCCUGACGCAGCAACACCGCGUGGAUGUUAAGCCCUUCGGGGUGUAAAGUUCUGUCCAUAGGGACGAAUUUUGACUGUACUUAUAAAGGAAGCACCGGCUAACUCCGUGCCAGCAGCCGCGGUAAUACGGGGGGUGCAAGCGUUGUCCGGAAUCAUUGGGCGUAAAGCGUUCGUAGGCGGUAUGUCAAGUCUGAUGUUAAAGCCCGGGGCUCAACUCCGGUUCGGCAUUGGAUACUGGCAAACUAGAAUGUGGUAGAGGU
Molecule: ribosomal RNA, 305 nt
Filed under: uncultured bacterium
Lineage: Bacteria
Description: bacterial SSU rRNA
Rfam family: Bacterial small subunit ribosomal RNA
Source: RNAcentral